This 400-nucleotide ribosomal RNA is filed under the name phytoplankton environmental sample. RNAcentral describes it as "partial small subunit ribosomal RNA". It matches the Rfam family "Eukaryotic small subunit ribosomal RNA", at positions 587 to 985 of the family's 1831-position model. The record is from RNAcentral.
AGCUCCAGCAGCGUAUAUUUAUAUUGCUGCGGUUAAAAAGCUCGUAGUUGAAACGUCAGACGCGGUAGGACGGACGGCCGCACCGGUCGCACUCGUCCGAACGCGCCAGGCGCGGAGGGCGCGCGUCGCUUGCACUUCGCCGUGUGGGCGCGCCGCCGCUGCACGUUCACCUUGAAGAAAUUGAACCGCUUAGAGGGGGCGAGCAGCUUGAACAGCUCAGCAUGGUAUGAUGGAACAUGGGCUUGUACUCAUUUUGUCGGUUAGAGAGUCGGCGAGCCAAUGAUUAACAGGGACGGCCGGGGGCAUUAGUACUCGGACGGGAGAGGUGAAAUUCAAGGAUCGUCCGAAGACUUCCUACUGCGAAAGCAUUUGCCAAGAAUGUUUUCAUUAAUCAAGAACG